Molecule: ribosomal RNA, 179 nt
Filed under: Echinobothrium harfordi
Lineage: Eukaryota; Metazoa; Platyhelminthes; Cestoda; Diphyllidea; Echinobothriidae
Description: partial 12S ribosomal RNA
Source: RNAcentral
UUUAUUUGUUUAACUCUAGCAAAAAGAAGUUGUUUUAGGUUAUUCGCAUAAAAUUUUUUUGUAUAACAUCUUAAACAGUUGUGAAGGUUAUUAUUAGCGAGUAGAGUUUUAUUUGAGUGUCUCUUUCUAAAAAUUUAGAACUAUAAGGGGACAGGUCGCAGUGCCAGCAUCUGCGGUUA